Molecule: microRNA precursor, 61 nt
Filed under: Podarcis lilfordi (Lilford's wall lizard)
Lineage: Eukaryota; Metazoa; Chordata; Lepidosauria; Squamata; Lacertidae
Source: RNAcentral
CUUCCAGUAGCACCUUAGAGACCAACGAAGUUAGUCUUGGUCUCUAAGGUGCUACUGGAAG